GCACCAGCAAAAUCUGGUGCCAGGAUUGGCGUCCUGAAUGACUGUAUGGCGACACAUGACGCGCCAAGCGUCUUUUUU
This is a non-coding RNA of Klebsiella pneumoniae IS39, 78 nucleotides long. Lineage: Bacteria; Pseudomonadati; Pseudomonadota; Gammaproteobacteria; Enterobacterales; Enterobacteriaceae. The record is from Rfam.